ACCGAAAUGGACCUGGUUGAAGCG
Molecule: non-coding RNA, 24 nt
Filed under: Arabidopsis thaliana (thale cress)
Lineage: Eukaryota; Viridiplantae; Streptophyta; Magnoliopsida; Brassicales; Brassicaceae
Source: RNAcentral